UACGAAGGGGGCUAGCGUUGCUCGGAAUCACUGGGCGUAAAGGGUGCGUAGGCGGGUCUUUAAGUCAGGGGUGAAAUCCUGGAGCUCAACUCCAGAACUGCCUUUGAUACUGAGGAUCUUGAGUUCGGGAGAGGUGAGUGGAACUGCGAGUGUAGAGGUGAAAUUCGUAGAUAUUAGGAAGAACACCGGUGGCGAAGGCGGCCAUCUGGCUCGGUAC
RNAcentral lists this ribosomal RNA (217 nucleotides) under uncultured prokaryote. RNAcentral's name for it is "partial 16S ribosomal RNA". It matches the Rfam family "Bacterial small subunit ribosomal RNA", at positions 524 to 740 of the family's 1533-position model. The record is from RNAcentral.